RNAcentral lists this ribosomal RNA (254 nucleotides) under uncultured bacterium. RNAcentral's name for it is "partial 16S ribosomal RNA". It matches the Rfam family "Bacterial small subunit ribosomal RNA", at positions 524 to 776 of the family's 1533-position model. The record is from RNAcentral.
UACGUAGGGGGCAAGCGUUGUCCGGAAUCAUUGGGCGUAAAGCGCGUGUAGGCGGCCCGGUAAGUCCGCUGUGAAAGUCGGGGGCUCAACCCUCGAAUGCCGGUGGAUACUGUCGGGCUAGAGUGCGGGAGAGGCGAGUGGAAUUCCUGGUGUAGCGGUGAAAUGCGCAGAUAUCAGGAGGAACACCGGUGGCGAAGGCGGAUCUCUGGGCCGAUACUGACGCUGGAGGAGCGAAAGCGUGGGGAGCGAACAGG